This 406-nucleotide ribosomal RNA is filed under the name uncultured bacterium. RNAcentral's name for it is "partial 16S ribosomal RNA". It matches the Rfam family "Bacterial small subunit ribosomal RNA", at positions 30 to 526 of the family's 1533-position model. The record is from RNAcentral.
AUUGAACGCUGGCGGCAGGCCUAACACAUGCAAGUCGAACGAGCGGCGGACGGGUGAGUAAUGUCUGGGAAUCUGCCCGAUGGAGGGGGAUAACUACUGGAAACGGUGGCUAAUACCGCAUACUAUCGGAUGUACCCAUAUGGGAUUAGCUAGUAGGUGGGGUAAAGGCUCACCUAGGCGACGAUCCCUAGCUGGUCUGAGAGGAUGAUCAGCCACACUGUGACUGAGACAAGGCCCAGACUCCUACGGGAGGCAGCAGUGGGGAAUAUUGCACAAUGGGCGCAAGCCUGAUGCAGCCAUGCCGCGUGUAUGAAGAAGGCCUUAGGGUUGUAAAGUACUUUCAGCGGGGAGGCGUUACCCGCAGAAGAAGCACCGGCUAACUCCGUGCCAGCAGCCGCGGUAAUUC